Molecule: long non-coding RNA, 12465 nt
Organism: Meriones unguiculatus (Mongolian gerbil)
Lineage: Eukaryota; Metazoa; Chordata; Mammalia; Rodentia; Muridae
Exons: 7
Source: RefSeq, a predicted model, not a curated record
CGCGUCCACAAAGAGCGCCGAGCGCGCCACCCAGUGGGUGCACGCACGAGCUGCCCGUCCACCCGGACUCGGGGUCAGUGCCCGGACACUUGGGACUGAAGCGCAGGGCAAACUGGAGACACGUCGGGCGCGUCCGAUCUGCUUCUCUGGGCUCGUGUUGCUGAGCGAGUGGAAGACGGAAAAGAAACCCGGGAAAAGCCAACAGACACAAACGCCUGCUGAGCCACGGAACUGUUCCGGACGGCGCGCGGCCGCGCCAACCUGCGGCCGCGCCAACGUAACUGGGCGAUGCGCCUGCGCGGUAGGAUGGACUCGCUGGAAGGUCGUCACGGAAGGGUGAGAGCAGGACCAAUCCCAGGUCAGAGCAGAGACCCUUAGUCCUGAGCAUGGAGCCGGGGGAGGGAGUGAAGCCCACGGGUGGAUGGUUCUGGAGAAUGUGUCUUUACCAACUUCAUCCUCUCCAGUGCAGAUUCCUAGCCGCGUUCCUUGGGAGGACGUUGGCGCGCGGCCGGAAAGGGUCAGCCCCGGUACCAGCCCGUCUUCCGUUUCCUCUGCCUGCUUGCCACGCCCUCGGCAGACCCCGUGCAAGGAUUUUCUGCGCAGUCUCCCGGGUCGCUCUACCACCGACCGCAGCGGAGAUCGCCCGGAUACGGUACUGCUGAGCUGACGCUGGGGUUCCAAAUGUCAGUGUGCUCAGCUCUGAGCCCUGGACUGUCCGCUCAUCUGCUGGAACUCCCCAACACGGGACGGAGAAGAGACUGGGAAUGAAGCCGUCCGAACCCUACGUGCUGGUGUGCAAGUCGUGUGAUUUCUGGGCAACUUGAUUAAUGGCCAACCACCUGCUUCAUUUAUUCAUGGAAUUGCAGAGUGAUAGAUCUAGAUGAGAAUUUAGGUAUGCAGUGCAAAUCCAGAGUUUUCUGGGAAGCAAAUGGAAACCCAGAGGAGGAAACGUAUUUACCCGGGGCGACAUGGCUUCAAUAGAGUCCAGUGCCUCCCAGCCAUCCCGCCUUGAGUCCCUCCCAUCCCCCCCUCAAGCUGAUAGGCUCUUAGGAUCUCUGCAUGCCCUCUUCAGGAAUGUUUCCUGAGCACCGAAGAGCUGAAUAGUAUUCUGCUGCAUAUAGACGUGGAAGGCCACAGAGUCCAUGAGGCUCCUCAGCCCCUGGAGAGGAAAAUGAGCCCCAGUUCCUCGGGGAGCCACCGGGACACAAACUGAGGUUUUUGGCCCUAUGGGGGACCUAAUCUGGAAACGUGGGAGCUACAAAGACUCCACCACUACUGCUCACAGCACACAGAUGUGUCUUCUGUUUAGCCUCAUGAAAGAUGGUCUUAACUCAACAUGUUAGUGACCGUGAACAGGGACCGUACCAAACUCUGCAGCAAGCACGUUUUUAGAUGCCUGCGGAGUCCAGAAGAGGGCUUCCGGUCCCUCAGAGGUGGUUGUGAGCUGCCUGACCCGGGGGCUGGGAAUCCUCCUCUGGAGGAGAAGUGUGUGUUCUUAGCCGUGAGCCGCCUUCCAGUACCAGCCAGAAGCAGCUCUUCAUUAACCGUGGCCACCAUGGAAGAUUAGACACCUGUAGAGGUGAGGAGUGUUGGGGGGAGCAAGUUCCAGAGGCAUCUGAACCCUAAAAAUCACGCUAGUGUUUCCUGAGGCCCAGGGGGCCAAACUCUUCCCUCUACACCUCUGGGCCAUACCUUCCUUUGUUUGACUGGACUUUAAAAUCCUCCCACAGUGCCUGGCACCUGAAAAUGCCAACCGAAAUCCUACCCCAGCUCCUUCUAGGCUAUAAUGCAGCCUGCCUUGAUGAAGAACUCCUAGGAUUGGCCACAGGGCUUCCGUUCUCUCUCUCUCUCUGGGUGUGGGUAUGUGUGUCCGUCUGUCUGCCUGUCUCUAUCCCCCCCAGCCUCCAGCCUCUGGGGUUUACACAGUGGCAAGGGAGGCCUCAGGACUCUUCUGGAGAUGCUUUAUUUUGUUUUAUUUUUAUAAUCUGGGCUUAGGCAAAGAAUCUGGAAAUUCCUUAAUAUCCAGUGUGGGUUUGGGUGAAAACAUUUUGCUUGCUAGCUCUCUGCUAUGGAUCUGAAAGGCAUGAGGCAGUCAGCCCCCAGGCCAGGCCAGAUGGAGGAGCCCUACACCUCCAGAAUGCUGCCUGUAACCCCUUGGCUGUUUGUCUUGUGCCAGGGCCUCAUUCCUCCACCCAUGACUCCUCGACCAGCCACAGCUGGCCCCCAAGACAGCAGCUGCUUGUCUCCCUUCUGGGCUGGGGACACAUCCUCGUGUAGCAGUGCCCAGAUAAUUCCUGAUUGCCUUCCCUGCUGACCAUAUAGGAGCUGAGCGAUUUCCCCAGCCAGCCCCUGGGGAAAAACAAUGGAAUGUUCCCGUAGCCAGAGUCCGAACUGGCCAAGCAGCUCGUGGCCGGGUCUGUUUCUAGGAAGAGCGAGGCCAGAGUGUGUUCUUGGGCGAGCAGGGAGGCACGGAGGGAGCCCACAGCUCUCUACACAGGGCAAGCAGGGCAAGAGUAUGAGGCUUGGUGAUGCAAUAUGAACAAGCAGAGCUAGGAGGAAAUGAGAGAGAGGUUUUGUUUAUUCUUAAUUCUCUUUGAAGUUAGGUCUCAAGUGGUAUCCAGAGGGAAAAAACAGGAAAGAGAAAACAUCAGAGGCAUGAGGCAGACGAUGUGUGCCUCGUUGCUCAUGGCUUGCUCCAUGCCCGACUCCAUGCCAGAGAACUGGGUGCCAGGAUCCUACACCCUCGGGGCUGCCAGCUCAUGACCAUCAGGGCAGCAUCUUACCAAGAGACAGCAAUGUUCCGCCAGGCAGGGACAUGCUCUGUGGACCAUUUCUGCUUGUUUUGUUUGUGUGGGGUUGAAGGGUGAGCCUUAGCACACUUGAGGUCAGAGGUCAGCUUGAAGCAGUUGCUUUUCUCUUUCCUUCUCUCCCCCAUGUUAUAAGGAUUGAGGUCAGGUUGUCAGGCCUGGCAGCAAGUGCCUUCAGGAGCUGAGCUGUCUCCCCCAGCCCUCUGCUGUGAUGUUGCGUUGCUCAGGCUGCCUCAGGUACCUGUACUCAACCAGUCCUCCCGCCCUGGCCUCUCAAGUAUGAGGUCAUUUCUGUAGCUGUGGUGUCUAGUAUGGAGCCUGGCACGCAGGACUUCCUCAAUAAAGAAUAGCCAAGCACUGUUAGCUAUUAUUCUGGGUCCUUGUUCUUUCGCAGACUAGAAGAUGAACAUUAUUCAAACCAGGCAGGAUGCUUUCAGUACUCUCUUCCUGUUUGCUGCUCUCCUCUCUCCCCCCGAUUUUCCCCCUCUCCCUCUCCCACUCUCUCUUUGUCUCUCUAGCUUUUGGUUUUUCUAGACAGAGUUUCUCUGUAUAGCCUUGCCUGUCCUGGACUUGCUCUGUAGACCAGGCUGUCCUCGAACUCAGGUAUCCACCUGCCUCUGCCUCCCAAGUUCUGGUAUUAAAGGCGUGUGCCACCGCUUGCCAGCAGCUCUGUAGAUUCUUGAAAGAGAGAACAAAAGGAAGAAAAACUUGUAAGUCCCCAAACUGAAAUUGUUACUGGACAUCACUCAAAUCCUAUUCCCAGUUUUUAUCAACUAAGGUCUAGGGAGAAGGCCCUUGGCACCAACUCAAUGGCAGCGACAUAGCUGAGAUUUAGGGCUCAACCUCAUCCCUCCAGUAAGCGGACAUCACCUGGUUCGGUGGGAACCGGCUUUCUGCCCUUGCUCAGAAGCACCCUCUACCCACGGUAAGGCGGGCUGUGUUGGGCACACUUGAGUUCCUUUCUGCUGGCCUUGGUAGCCCACCCCAGCAGGAAGGUGUUGAGGCUGGAGCUCCGUAGGAGGCGUCCCCAAAAAGGAAGGUGCUGAGGCCAGCCCUCAGACAUCAGGGCUUUGUCUGAGGUGCCCAGGCCUUCAGGGCCCGUGAAGCACAGCAGUGUCUGCUGUGGACUUUCUGUGCUUGGGUCAUUGCCGAAAUUCCCAGGUCUUUGGUAACCUGAACACUUGACAUUUUCAGGGUAAUAUUUUUCCCAAGGCAUUUGUUCUGGAUCACUAACGUUUGGUGCAUGAGCUAUCAUUUUUGAUUCGACAUAUUUAAACCUCAUUUUUUCCCCUAGACAAGACAAAUUGAAUUUGUAACUUCCCAUAUGGGGUUUUAUGAAAAGAUUGGUGCUGGGAUGCCCUGGGUUCCCAGGCUGAUGUCAUCUGAUUGGCCAUGACAGUCUUUUCCCACUUCAGGGUAUGAGGGAGUAAUUGCAAGUACUCCAACUGGGAGAAGGUAUGAGUGGGCUUUUCUCCUGAGGGGGGAAAACAGAUCUUAGCAGAUGGAUGAGUAUCGGCGCUCGGGGUUCUCUCCACUGCCUGGAGGGCCCUUCUGGAAUAGAAGCCUCACAGCUCUGCACAUCUUGACUGUCUACUGAGCUCUUCUCACAGGCUGGGAGGGCAGGGCUGUCCUCCGUGCCUGGGACAACACCGGGAAGCUGAGCAUGUGGUCAAGAUUGGACACAAAAGAGGGGGUAGGUGGCGGUCCUCAGUGUGGGCAGCUCCUGUGUCAGCCUGGGCUUCCCACUCCAAACCAGACCUCUCCCUGCCCUGUGGGACCUAUCCAGCUUGUCCCUUUCUUCUGGUGACAAAGCCCUAGCUCUAGCUAUGGCUCCUGGUUAGCCUACUUUCAGAAGAAGGGGGAGGGGUGGAGAGUUUCACAGCAGGGUGGACCAUGGGAGGCAGUCUUGGUGCUUGCAGGGAGGCCUGAACUAUAGUCCAGGCGUGUGGCGUUGAGCUCAGGCUGACCUCUUCUCGUGGCUCUGCUUGGCUCAGUGUUUGGGGUUUUAUCCUCCUGAGCUAUCAGAGUUUGUACCCUGCAACAAGAAGCGGAGCUAGGGAGUUGGCCCUGACCAGCUCUGUGGCACUAAAGUCGAUUCUUGUUAGACAGACAAAGCCUCGAAUAACUUACUCUUUGCCAGUACUUUUCUGUUGCCCAAGGCUAUAUAGCUCUGUGACCUGUAAUCAGUUGCUUAACCUCUCUGAGUCUGCUCAUAGCUGUAGAAAAUGAAUAUAAGACAAGUUGCUUUCCUUCACCCGGGCUAUUGCAGGGGAUUAAAAGUAGUGACGUGUAUUAGAGUCCUUUUUAGAUGACAAGGUGCUGUUCUGCUCUAAGGGGCUCAUUACAAUCAUCCUGGCUAUUGUAGAGGGACGAGAAUAGCUACUUCUUAGUAAUACUGUAGCCACAAACUCUGUUAUGAUGGAUGAAGAAAAAAAAAAGCCCAUUUUCCCAGUGGAAGAGUGACCCCAGACAAAACAGACCAAUAAAUAACCCCAAAUGAGAACAAUGGGGUCCCCUGGACCCACAGUGGAGGACAGAGCCCUGACUCCUUCAAGCUGCCCUUUACGUACUCACAUACAGAGAUGGAAACAAGUAAGUGUGACAGAAGUCUGAAACUGCUCUUUGUUAUUACCAGAAAUAGUUUUCAGAAUCAAGAGCAAUUGUUCGACUCUGUCCUAACUCCAGCAUCAAACAUUAUUUUAUCUUCUGAAACAGGGUCUCCCAUAGCCCAGGGUCUCCUGAUCUUCCUAUCUCCAGCUCAGACUGCAGGAUACAGGACCACGCCCAGCUCCAAACAUCAUUUAUUUGAUACAGUUUAACUGGCGUUGGGUGGAAGUGAAGGGUCAGAGCGAGUGUCCACAGGAAGACACUCCGGCUGGGACCACUCCCAUCAUGCUGUGGCUUCUCCUUUCAAUUGGAACUGACCUGGUUUGACCAACCAGAGAGCCACAGUCCCCCCGGGCGGGGUGACUGGUUCAGCAGGGGGCAGGAAGUCCAAAGCGAGAGUCAGCCGAAGGAGUUGGCUGGCACAGCUGAGGACACGUUCUUUCUCGCCUGGAAAGCUGCCGAGAUGUGCGGUAUACGCUUAGAGAUGUUGGUUUCUCUUUGCAUCUCCUAAGAGUUGAGAGACACGGGGCUGAGAGGCGAAGAGCUUCCCACUGAGGUGGUUUCAGGGCAGAAGAGACAAGUUGUGCCACCUUGACCACGGGGGGUCUCCAUCCCUUCACUAAUGUGACCUAGAUAAUGCUUCACAGGCAUCCCCAGAGGCCAACCCAGACAAGGUUCACCUCCCAGGUUGACAGUAUUAAUCACCGUGUGCAAUAACCAGGUUCAAGACCGGCAAGCUUGAGUCAUUUCAGUGUGCUAUGGUGCACACAGGUUACCUGGCUGGUUGUCUGGUGCCUAGCCCAGAGAUGACGGCGGAGGACUUGCCCUGAGUGGAAGGGCCCUACCGGAAGUGGGCCUAAAAUCCCACCUUCCCCGGGUGGCUUAGGUAGGAAGAUUUCAAGUUCAAGGACUUUCUGGAGGUACAGAGUGAGUUCAAGGUUGACCUUGGCGAUUUAGCGAGGCUCUGCCUAAGAUAAAAAGUAAGAAGAUUGCUGGGGUUGCAGCUCAGCAUUGGAGAAUUUGACCAGCAUGCGUGGAGCCCCGGAUUCAGUCCCCAGGACUCGGCAUCUGGGGCAGAGCCUAGGUGAGGAGGUGGCUGGAGGAUGUUUUGUGUGAGCUGUUUGCUCUCUAAGAGAGGCAGCCAAUUGUUCAAGGUGUCAAAGCCCCAGAAGAGAAAAGCCAUGAUUAAUGCAGCGAGAGGCUGCUCAUCCUCCUGCAGGCCAGUCUGGGCCUGUUCACAGGACAGUGGCUUCCCAGCAGCAAGAGAGGACAAGCCUCUGGGGACAAACACUUCCGUCCUCUGCCAUGUCUUGUCCACCAUUGUCUUGGGGGACACAGCAUGCCAUGUGUGCAAGCUCACAGCCAGCGUGGGAGGAGACUGUAAGCCGGGAAUGGAGCAGAGCUAGGAAAGGUCCUCUGUCUGAAACCACUGCAGCGACCCUCCGUUACCAUGGAGAGCUCCAGUCCUGGGUGCUGGCUGCAGCCUGGGGACAGCCCCCACCCACCUAGGGACUCCACUCUGUGACCUUGACUAUACUGCAGGAAAGAAUUUCAGGGUGGAUUAGAAUGGAACAGAGCUGUGCUUAUUAAAUAAAGAUGAGAGUAAAAGCAAAAAAAAAAAAAAGAUUCAAAUAGAGGCAGAGAAGGUGAGGGAACACAGAUAAUAGUGAGUCAGACAUUGUGGCGCAUGCCUGUGAUCCCGGCGUUUGUGAAACGGCGGCUGGGAAAUUAUAACUCCAAAGCCAGUCUAGGUUAUGUAGCAGAACUCUGUCUGUAAAUAAGUAAACAAACAUACUUUCAAAAGAAAAGGAUAAUGCUGUACACCCAGGAGGAGGACCUCCUCCCCUUCUAUCUGACCCUUGCCUAUCAGGUCUCAUCAGGACUGGCUGCAUUGUCUUCCUCUGUGGCCUGGUAAGGCUGCACCCUCCCCCCAGGGGGAGGUGAUCAAAGACCCAGCCACUGAGUCCAUGUCAGAGACAGUCCCUGUUCCCCUUACUAGGGUACCUACUUGGACACAGAGCUGCCAUGGGCUACAUCUGUGCAGGGGUCUAAGUUAUCUCCAUGCAUGGUCCAUGGUUGGAGUAUCAGUGUCAGAAAAGACCCUGGACCCAGAUUUUUUGGUUCUGUUGCUCACCUUGUGGAGCUCCUGUCCCCUCCAGGUCUUUCUAUCUCCCCCUUCUUUCAUAAAUUGUAGUAUAUUUAUACAGUGGAAUACUACUCAGCAAUAAAAAACAAGGAAAUCAUGAAAUUUGUAGGCAAAUCGUGGGAACUAGAAAAGAUCAUCCUGAGUGAGCUAUCCCAGAAGGAGAAAGUCACACAGGCUAUAUACUCAUACUGGAUAGCAGACAUAUAAUAUAGGAUAAACAUACUAAAAUCUGUACACCUAAAGAAGCUAAGCAAGAAGGAGGACCCUGGGUAAGAUGAUCAAUCCUCACUCAGAAAGGCAAACAAGAUAGACAGCGGAAGAGGGAAAAAACAGAACAGGACAGGAGCCUACGACAGAGGCCUCUGAAAGACUCUACCCUGCAGGGUAUCAAAGCAGAUGCUGAGACUCAUAGCCAAACUUUGGGCAGAGUGCAGGGAAUCUGGGUUUGGUUUUUUUUUGAGACAGGGUUUCUCUGUGUAGCCCUGGCUGUCCUGAACUUGCUAUGUAGACCAGACUGGCCUUGAACUCACAGAGAUCCUCUGCCUCUGCCUCUGUGCUGGGAUCACAGGUGUGCACGACCUCUCCCAGCUGAUUAUAUAGGUUUUAAAGAUAAAAUGAAGGACAAGAUUUUCAACUGUGGCCUGGGGGCUGUUGACUUUUCCCUUGGAGCUUCGGGCCUCCUGUCUGCAGCAUCUCACAGCUGGCCGCCCCUAUGCUGGAUUUUCUAAAUCUCUGGGUUCACUGUGUCACAUGCAUUCUGACCCUCGGACAUCAGCCAGGCGUGAUGUUAAGUGUGGCUCACAUCCUCAUCAUGUUCUCAGGGUCUCUGCCCUCCCCCGUCUGCCGAUCUUCCUGGGAACACAGGAUGUGCUCGGCCGGCCAGGGACCCCCCCCAGAACGUGUCUGGGAACCUCAUCCCGAAGCACUACAGCCUUGUGUUCUCCGUGUGCCUGUCACAGAGCGUCAGCGGUUGGUCCUGCGCGUCUCGGUCACCUGAGCUGGCGUCUGUGUUUCUCUGAAGCAGGGAAGCAAGGUUGAGCCCUUGUCUGGUCACCAUGACAAAGCACGACGACAAAAGCAGCUCACGGAAGAAAGCACUUAAGUGUGGGCUGGCUUACCGUGUCAGAGCGUGAGUCCUUGUCACGCUCCUGGCGGCAGGCGGGCAUGGCCGUGGAGCAGUGCCUGACCGGCAAGGUGGAGGCAGAGGGAGGUUGCGGGGACACGGAGAAUGGGCCUGGCACUGCCAAAGCCACCUCCCAGUUCUGUGUGUACCCACUUUCCUUGCAGUUUUCUUGGGUUACUCCAGUAACAGAGCCCAGACCAAAGUGUGAGUGUGUGUAUAAGAGAGUGUGUAUGUGUGGGGGUGUCUGGGUGUGAGCGUGUGUGUGUGUGUGUGUGUGUGUGUAAGUGUCUGUGGAUUCUGGAACAGGAGGUGGGUUAGGAAAGUGUCCCUGGGAGGCAGGAGUGGGAUUGGGAGAGGGGCAGGAAGGAAGUGCCUUCUCUGUGGUUGCUGCAUGCUACUUCACUUCUGGGCGGACAGGACCGAGGGUGCUCACCCACGGGCACUGCCCGGUUUCCCGUCCCGGAGACAUACUCUGGGUUCCGGUUGUGUGGGGCUGAGAGGGCUGCUGAGGGGAGAGCAGGGCUGCUGGGCCCCGAUGUGCCAGGGCUCUGCAGUGUCUGCCCUGGCAGUCUCGCCCUUCCUGCUGCGCCGGCUUGGUAAGGGUAAGAACAGCAAAGAACAGCAACAGAACACGUUGCUCGCUUCCUGUGCCCAGCCACAGACCUCAUGGCGUCCAGCACCUCAGCACCCGAACACAGGCGGCCUAAGCGGCACCAUCUGGAGAGCGUGGCAGCUGGAGAGCAUGGGAUCAUCUUCUGAGGCCUGGAGAGAAAGCAGGACACUGUUCAUAAGCUCAGCGUGAACACAUCCAUACGUCUCGCUGACAACCUGCGGUAGGAUGUGGGUGGGUAAAAUUUGCUUUCCUCCCUUCUCAAAGUCAAAGACAACUCAUUGGAACCUAGACUAAUGAAGUGCGGACCUUGGGGAUAAAGCCACAGGGCUGUGUCCGGCAGACUGUGGAGCAGUACCUGUCAGAUGGACUUGGUGACGUGGGGCCUUUAUCACACUCUUCAAGGGGACGAGAACAAGGUCUCAAGGUCUAGGUUGUGCGUAGUUGUUUGCUCUCUGCCUAACUUCAGGCAUAUCACACCACCACUUGAAACCCCACCUUUCUGCCCGUUGUCUACCUGUCUUCCAGCUUUUAUGAAGAUCAAAUUAGCUAAUGCAUGUGGAGGAGCUGGGAGGUGCCCCUUUCACUCCGAGGGACCCAGGGCUGCCUUGACCUUCCUGCUGCUAUGUCUGUUGAGGCCUCCGUUACUGGUUUAUAACUUCCUUCCUCUCCCAGGGGGAACCUGAAUCGAAGCAGCCUUUCUCCACCAGGCAGACACAGCACACCAAGGAUGGAGGAUGCUUCCUACCCUCCAGGGUCUCCGUGUCACGGGAGAGCGAGACAAGCAAGUAGGCUCGUACCAGUGCAGGAAGAUGGAGCUUCACAAGACAUCGAUAGAAGACCGGAGGGGGUCACCUCGGCCUGUGCUGAGGACUGAGGAGGGGCUGGGAAAUAGAACACAGUAGCCCCAAGUGGCCAGAUUUGCAAAGGAGUGGAGGCAGGAAAGAAUACAGCACAUUCACUUAUAAUGCUGGAGUUUUCAGUCAUGGAACCAUGCAUUUCUAAAUUAACAUUAUGCAGAUUCUUGAUUAAGAAACACAGGUUUGAUGAGAUGCGUGAGGCAAACAGGUAAUGACGAUAAAUGUAUGCAAGUCUGUAGCCGUGGUCCAUGCUGAAAGUGUGUGUAUGGGCUUGAAUAAUAAAGAUAUUCAUGAAUAUUAGAAUGGAGAGUGUGGAGAUGACAGAAACGCUAACUUCUCCCAUUUUCUGUUCUUCCUCAUCUGGGUCUUGGGAACAGGUAAUGCCGUUUUCAUCCAUUGGUGGUGAUAUUCGUAUAACUCACCUCCUGGCAGUACAGCAAAACGAGCAAUCUGCUUAUAUAUUAUUUAUAAUGCUUGCUUAAAGGUACACUCUUUUUAAUCUGAAUUUUACAGAAGAGAAAACAAAUGAGGCUGGGAAAGAUGAGCCAACUUUUCCAAAGUCAAAAAAGUUAAAUCACAGGCUGGAGUGUGUGAAGGGCAGACUGCAUGCCCCAUCCCCCAUCCACAGCUUUGCUUUCCGGGGUUUCCGCUGCCCAUGGCCAUCUGUGACCGAAAAUAUUAAAUGGAAAAUUCCAGAAAUGAGUAAUCUAUAAGCUCUCAGAGACAACGGCCGUAUCCUGAGUAGUACUGUGACGUCUUGCACUGUGUCAUUCUGCCUUUCCUGGGCGUGAAUCAGCCCUCAUCCGGGUGUCCACCCUGGGCCUAUUAUUCACCUCUGAGUCACUUAGCUGCUUGGUUAUCAGAUCAACUGUCGUGGAAUCACAGUGUUUACUUCUGUUAACCUUUAUUUAAUUUAAUCGUGGCCCUAAAGCAGGGAGUGUGAUCAGGGGAAGCAUGGACAUGGAGAGACGAGCUUGAGAUCUCUGGGUCUGAGCUCUGAGGCUCGUGAGGCACAAAUGAGCAGAAGUGGCUUAGUGUCCUCGCGGGUUUCUGGGGUCGACUGGAAGUCACGGAGCAUACUCUCCGUGGAUCAGUGGUGUUGCUAACUUAAAUCCUCCAUUUAGCUCCCUGAAACCCCAGUGAAGGAAGCAAGUAUAAUGUCAGGCCGCAGGCUUUAACUGCAGGCUCUGUUUUUUGUUGUUUGUUUUCUGUGGGUCUCUGGGCAGUAUAGUUAAUUUCCCAAAGCAUCCGAUCCUAUCAAUAAAAUGGAAGUGAUACUAGCAUUGGCCCUGAAGGGUAAGGGAGAUGAAUUUUUUUAUAUCCCUGCCUGUCUUGGCUGUGUCUGGCUCAUGGUUGAGGAAGUAAAUGCCAGCCACUUAAAAAUUGUUGUAAUUCCUGGGCAGAGGCUGGAAUGCUCGGGGCAGCAGCACCUGCAGCUGACUGGGUCGAGCCCUUGGUUCACUGCCUCCACAGCCAUCCCAACCACCUGGCACUCGUGGCUUUCCCCUGCAGCACAAGGCUGUGGUACUCAUUUCUAAGAUGUCUGUUGGUGACACCUCCUCCCUCCCAAGAUUUACUGCCAGAUUAACCACGGUCGUAUCAUAGCUGUUUUCACAUAAUGGCCGCCCUGUGCUGCUGGAAUGGACAAGCAGGUUUACAAGGCCUCUCUCAGCCUGGAUAAAAUGCCCCCGUGGGUGCUGGCAGUAAAUUACAGGGCUUCGAAAACAUGGGAUGGAGACGCUGUUGCUGGGUAAGCAUGCCUAAGCCAAUAGGCCAGGCUUCUAGGACAUGCGUCAGGGGUGACAGAGAAGUGGUCACAGCUCCACCUGAAAUCAAAGUUGUGAUGAGAACGGUAUGUGCCCUCACAGCACACACACAUCAGCACACAUAACCGUGUCGUGGAGACUGCAGUUACUCCCACUGUCUUACUUUCCUUUCUCUCCCAGUUGAAGAUGCUCGCAAGUCCUAAGGGAACUGUGUGACCAUGGAGGCAACUGCCACACCUGCCAGCCUCUGCCAUCGGGUGCAGCCAGACAGCCAAAGCUGGCGGACGAAGUAGAAGGACCCUGUUGAAAUGUGGCAGCUCUCAGCAUUGUCUACACUGGCCCAUGCAUACCUCUAAUUUUAGCAUCUGUGAGGCUGAGGCAGGAGGAUUUCUUACAAAUUCAAGGCCGGCCUGGGCUACAGAGCGAAACCUUGUAUUAAAAUUCAUUGAUUGGUUAAUUAAUUAAUUAAACAAAUAAAUAAACAAAGCUAGUAAAAUUAAAGAGCGAAACAGCGUCCUUCUGUUUUAAGAAUGCACGUUGUUGAGG